Molecule: ribosomal RNA, 437 nt
Filed under: Candidatus Omnitrophota bacterium
Lineage: Bacteria; Pseudomonadati; Candidatus Omnitrophota
Description: bacterial SSU rRNA
Rfam family: Bacterial small subunit ribosomal RNA
Source: RNAcentral
UUUUCGGAGAGUUUGAUCCUGGCUCAGAGUGAACGCUGGCGGCGUGGAUUAGGCAUGAAAGUCGAGCGGUCUUUUAGGCGGAGAGGUUGAAGCUCGCAAGAGCGGAUGCCGAUUUGCCUGAUUGAUAGCGGCAGACUGGUGAGUAACACGUGAGUAAUUUACCUCUAAUUCGGGGAUAGCCUUGCGAAAGCGAGGGUAAUACCCGAUGUGAAUUCGGCGGCGCAAGUUGCCAAAUUUAAAGGCGGCCGUAAGGUUGCUGUUUAGAGCUGAGCUCGCGUCCUAUCAGCUAGUUGGCGGGGUAAUGGCCCACCAAGGCAUUUGACGGGUAGCUGGCCUGAGAGGGUGGUCAGCCACACGGGGACUGAGACACUGCCCCGACUCCUACGGGAGGCUGCAGUCGAGGAUCUUUAGCAAUGGGCGAAAGCCUGACUAUGCGA